Long non-coding RNA from Pyrus x bretschneideri (Chinese white pear), 899 nucleotides. RefSeq lists it as uncharacterized. The transcript has 2 exons. The record is from RefSeq and is a predicted model, not a curated record. Lineage: Eukaryota; Viridiplantae; Streptophyta; Magnoliopsida; Rosales; Rosaceae.
AUAAUGUCAUAACAAUGUUGAAUUGUUUUCUUGGAUGGAGAUUUGAUUGCCUUGUUUUUAUGUGUUUGGCAAUGCAGAUACGGGAAUGUGACUGUGGUGGAGAAUACAGAGAAGAUGGUAGGAUCUUAUCUUCCAGCAGAUAAGGGCAGUUUUUGGUUUUGGCAUUUAAGAUAUUUAAGUAGGGUUUCUCUUGCAGUUGUAGAAUUUGUUAAUUUUGGAAGCAUGAAUUAAAUGUUUGGGAUUAACUUACAAAGCUUCCUAUCAAAACCAAUCAAAACCAUUUUCUGAAUCUAAUGUUACAAUGUUGUGCACUCUCAUUGAUAAGCAGAUUUUCAUUAUGAUGAAUUUUCAGUCUUUCUCAAAAUUUCAAUAACUAAAAUUCAUGUGGCAUUCGGUGUGAAUUUUGUCAGAUUUGUCUCAUUGCAUUGGAUUGAUUUUUUGUACUGUUACCAGGCCCGUCAAUUUUUUCUUUUUAAUCCCAACUGUUUUUGCUUUCAGGGAAAAGAGGUUUCUUCUUUGAUGCCUUGCAGGAGAGCUGUGGUUUUGACAAUUGGGGCAAAUAAACAUCACUUAUGAAGAAGAUGAUUGCACUAUCCACCAAGUUGGAAAAAGAGGUGAAUCUUUGAUAUGGCAGAUCUGAAACUUUUACGUAUUGAUUUCAACUUAACUCCAUUUUAGGUGUAAUUUUGGACUGAUUUUGUUUUGAAUUCGACUAUAUUUGUUAUGGCUCCUGAUGAGGUGCAAGGGUUGCUGCGGAAAAGGCAUCUGUCCAAAAAUAUGUGCUUUCAAGUUUUAUUGUAUUAGAGAUAAAAUAUGGAACAUUACAUUAUGUAUGUGAGAUUGGGAAUGUGUUGUAGGUCUUUUCAUUUUAAGAAAAUUAAAAAAUUUCAUUUCCUCAA